UACGGAGGGUGCAAACGUUGCUCGGAAUCAUUGGGCGUAAAGCGCACGUAGGCGGUCCGGCAAGUCGGGUGUGAAAGCCCUCGGCUUAACCGAGGAAGUGCAUUCGAAACUACCGGACUUGAAUACUGGAGAGGGUUGCGGAAUUCCCGGUGUAGAGGUGAAAUUCGUAGAUAUCGGGAGGAACACCGGUGGCGAAGGCGGCGACCUGGGUAGAUACUGACGCUGAGGUGCGAAAGCGUGGGGAGCAAACAGG
RNAcentral lists this ribosomal RNA (253 nucleotides) under uncultured bacterium. Its description in RNAcentral is "partial 16S ribosomal RNA". It matches the Rfam family "Bacterial small subunit ribosomal RNA", at positions 524 to 776 of the family's 1533-position model. The record is from RNAcentral.